RNAcentral lists this long non-coding RNA (1791 nucleotides) under Marmota monax (woodchuck). Lineage: Eukaryota; Metazoa; Chordata; Mammalia; Rodentia; Sciuridae. The record is from RNAcentral.
GCUGAUGAAAGAAGACCCCCAUCUCCAGUCUAAUUGGGCCAUGGAUAGAAAACAAAGAUGUGGCAAGUUUUUGCGUAAAAUGGGGCUGGCACGUGCUUGGUGCCUCUUCACUUCUGACUCAGUUCGCACUCAAUUUUGUUUUAUGGUCCCUGGUGCAUGUGUACCACCCCAUGGCCUUUCUUAGGAUGGACAGGGCCUGGUGCCUUCAUUUCUCUGAGUUCCCCCAGCAUGCAGAGCAAUAGGUGGCAGUCAAGAUGGUGCUGCAAUGGUGUCAGAAAGAUGGGAUCCUUGGAAAAGUCAGUGUGUCUGACUCUCAGUUUGCACAUCUGUACAAUGGCAAAAUGUCAUCUAUCCUCAGAGAUUCCAGGUGCUACCACACACUCAGACUGAUGCAGUAUUUUCUUUCUCUCAGCUACCCUGUUAGGUAGCUAAGACUUAAAAUGUGGCCCUUGGACCAGCGUCAUCGCUGUUAUCUGGGAAUUUGCUAGAAAUGUAGACUCUUAGGCCCUACUCCAGACCACUCCAGACCAACCAAAGGAAGAUCUGCCUUUUACCAAGAUCCUCAGGAAAAGUGUGUAUACAUCAAAGUCUGAGAAGCACUUUUCUGUGCAGAUUCUCAUGAACAUUAAAUGUAAGCAAGUAAACGAGAGUGAGCCUGUGACCGUGUUCUCUUCUGGGAAAGGAUAGGACUCUUUACCUGAGGGCUACAGGGAGGCUCAAGUGAAGAAGUUGUGUAUAACCGGCAAGGUCUUUGACAGUCACUCACUGAUUCCUUCAGUGAACAUUUCUUGAGCAACUACUAUAAAGCAGGUUUGGCGCUUGUGCAAAAUAUGUUCUUUGCUUAGAUAUUUAAAAGAACUGAGUGAAACAUGUUGAAUACUGUUAAAUAGCUCUAGUUAGUACAGAGGGUGAUAAGGGAACGAAUAACUAGUUCUGACUAAAGUUCAGGGCUGGGUAGGUUAGGGGAGGCUUUCUUACAGUGGUGGCAUUGAGCUUCUACUGGAAUGAAUGAGGCAGAGAUCCUUCUGGGCAGAGGGCAAUAUAAAAAAGAGCUCUGAGCCAUGAACAGGCAUGGGGGAUUUGAAUGUGACUGUUAAUCCCCAAACAAGAACCAGAACCAAUAAAGUGAUAAAUAGUGUAUUGGGGGAUGGAAUCCUGAUCUGACGGGUAGGUACUGACAAGAGAGGUGUUCAUAUUCAGCCUGAAAAGUAUUGUGCCUACAGUGUUGAUUACCUAAGAGGAAGACACUGUAAUUUUUCCUUUUUAUUCCUCGCAUACUCUAACUGAUGAGGUUUGUUGCCAGCAUCGACGUUCUACUUCCUACGAUUUUAAUCUAACACUGAGUAGCAGUGUUUCGGUAAGGACGAGAAUAGGUUUCCCGAUGUCAUUUGCAUGUAUGACCUCACUGGAAAGGCAAGGGGGCACCUUCCUUAACUGAGAAUUUCUAUGUCAGCAUGUUUCGCAAAUGGCCAAAGCUGUCACCCAGCACCACCUGAGAGAUGUCACUGCUUUCCUUCCCAACUGCAGUGAGGCAUGUGGCUCUCAGUCGGAGAGCACAGGACAGAAGUAGAAAUACCACGGAGGCCCCAGAGAACAGAAACUCUGAUGUACCCAAGAAAGGGCUUCCAUCCUAGACUAACCAAGAGUGGGGGGCCCUGUCUCUCAGAAAACCACUGUGAUGUGGAGUCUCUGCCUGGUCACAACCAGUGAAACCUGGAGUGAGAGGGGGUGACACCAAUGUGAUCACAUGCAGAGGCAAAAUCACUUCCUGAAGUGGGUCCGUGAGCUGCA